UUGAAUGAGAUGCCUGUUUUUUACAACCUUAAUGUUGUUGAAAAGCGUGAAGUUCUCAUAGUUAUUUUGCAAAUUGUGCGCAAUCUUGAUGAUGCAUCACUUGUGAAGGCAUGGCAGCAGAGCAUUGCAAGGACUAGAUUAUUUUUCAAACUCAUGGAGGAAUGCCUAAGUCUUUUUGAGCACAGAAGGUCUGCUGAUGGCAUGCUUAUGGGUUCUAGUUCUCGUAGUCUUGUUGGGGAUGCACCUGCUUCCCCUAAGUACUCUGAUAGACUUUCUCCGACAAUCAACAAUUAUCUGUCUGAGGCAUCAAGACAAGAAGUCAGACCUCAGGGAACACCUGAAAAUGGAUAUUUGUGGCAAAUAGUAAAUUCUCAGUUAAGUUCUCCUAGCCAGCCAUAUUCAUUGAGAGAGGCUCUGGCUCAGGCACAAUCUUCUAGAAUUGGAGCUUCUGCUCAGGCUCUUAGAGAAUCUUUGCACCCAUUAUUGAGGCAAAAACUGAAAAUUGAGGAUGGGACUUGAGAAGCUAGCUUGCAAGUUAUGAUUAAACAGGUUUUGGCAUAAAGGAUUUAACCAAUUUUGAUGUUAUUGUUGUGGUACACUUUCAAAGUUAGGGUUCUACUUAGCAGAUAAAACUGCUUCAUAAAUUUGAGUGUUUCAGGAACUAGAGAGAAAGAGCACAACAGCUGCUGCACUCAAGUCACUUCAACAUAAACUUGAGAAAUACAAGAUAAAGUUGAACAACUCGUAUAAGAAUACUCGAGUAUACUUAUAACUUGUUCAUGUUGCACAAAACUGAUUACAAGGACAAGAAGAAGAAAUAUAUGUUGUUUGACAAUGAAUUUAGUGUUUUAUUAUAUUUGUAAUUUUUAUUAGAGUAAAUGAUUUUUAUUUGAAUGGUUAAUUAUUUACUUUGUAAAUCUA
This is an RNA transcript of Humulus lupulus (European hop), 921 nucleotides long. It is a transcript of the gene named guanine nucleotide exchange factor SPIKE 1-like, with no coding region annotated. The record is from RefSeq and is a predicted model, not a curated record. The transcript is spliced from 6 exons. NCBI's taxonomy places the organism in Eukaryota, Viridiplantae, Streptophyta, Magnoliopsida, Rosales, Cannabaceae.